This 402-nucleotide ribosomal RNA is filed under the name uncultured Paracoccaceae bacterium. RNAcentral describes it as "bacterial SSU rRNA". It matches the Rfam family "Bacterial small subunit ribosomal RNA", at positions 353 to 772 of the family's 1533-position model. Lineage: Bacteria; Pseudomonadati; Pseudomonadota; Alphaproteobacteria; Rhodobacterales; Paracoccaceae. The record is from RNAcentral.
AGUGGGGAAUCUUGGACAAUGGGGGCAACCCUGAUCCAGCCAUGCCGCGUGAACGAUGAAGGCCUUAGGGUUGUAAAGUUCUUUCACCGGGGAAGAUAAUGACGGUACCCGGAGAAGAAGCCCCGGCUAACUCCGUGCCAGCAGCCGCGGUAAUACGGAGGGGGCUAGCGUUGUUCGGAAUUACUGGGCGUAAAGCGCACGUAGGCGGAUUGAUCAGUCAGGGGUGAAAUCCCGGGGCUCAACCCCGGAACUGCCUUUGAUACUGUCAGUCUGGAGAUCAUGAGAGGUGAGUGGAAUUCCGAGUGUAGAGGUGAAAUUCGUAGAUAUUCGGAGGAACACCAGUGGCGAAGGCGGCUCACUGGCAUGAUACUGACGCUGAGGUGCGAAAGCGUGGGGAGCAAA